RNAcentral lists this ribosomal RNA (498 nucleotides) under uncultured bacterium. Its description in RNAcentral is "partial 16S ribosomal RNA". It matches the Rfam family "Bacterial small subunit ribosomal RNA", at positions 30 to 523 of the family's 1533-position model. The record is from RNAcentral.
AUUGAACGCUGGCGGCAUGCCUUACACAUGCAAGUCGAACGGUAACAGGUCUUCGGAUGCUGACGAGUGGCGAACGGGUGAGUAAUACACCGGAACGUGCCUAGUAGUGGGGGAUAACUACUCGAAAGAGUGGCUAAUACCGCAUGAGAUCUACGGAUGAAAGCAGGGGAUCGCAGGACCUUGUGCUACUAGAGCGGCCGAUGGCAGAUUAGGUAGUUGGUGGGAGAAAAGCUUACCAAGCCGACGAUCUGUAGCUGGUCUGAGAGGACGAUCAGGCACAAUGGGACUGAGACACGGCCCAGACGCCGACGGGAGGCAGCAGUGGGGAAUUUUGGACAAUGGGCGCAAGCCUGAUCCAGCAAUGCCGCGUGCAGGAUGAAGGCCUUCAGGUUGUAAACUGCUUUUGUACGGAACGAAAAGCCCCGGGUUAAUACCCUGGGGUCAUGACGGUACCGUAAGAAUAAGCACCGGCUAACUACGUGCCAGCCGCCGCGGUAA